GUGCGGCCCCGUGGCGAUUUGGGCGACCCUGAUUGCGGGCCACGUUAAAUAAUCCGCUAAAGUGGGGACCGUCCCCC
This 77-nucleotide non-coding RNA is filed under the name Rubellimicrobium mesophilum DSM 19309. Its description in RNAcentral is "Rubellimicrobium sp. MSL 20 Alpha-proteobacteria SAM riboswitch aptamer". It matches the Rfam family "Alpha-proteobacteria SAM riboswitch aptamer". Rfam says of the family: This family is a riboswitch found predominantly in alpha-proteobacteria that binds S-adenosyl methionine (SAM). RNAcentral also lists the same sequence under 1 other name. Lineage: Bacteria; Pseudomonadati; Pseudomonadota; Alphaproteobacteria; Rhodobacterales; Roseobacteraceae. The record is from Rfam by way of RNAcentral.